UCGCAGAACUGGUCACGGGUCGUGACUCGCUUCACCGAGCGACUGACUGUAGCUCCCUGCCCUGACUCCAGGGACCAGGGCUGCUUUUUUUUCUCCCCCUUUCCGUUCAUUUUCCUUCCCAUUCUUUGAGCUGUCAAUGGCGACACUGCAUGCUCUCGUCUCAGUGUACACUAGCACAGCUUCUCGCUGACAUACCAUCUUCUGGGCUGAUCGGAGCGUCCCCAACCUCUAGUAUCUGCUCUCUUCUUGGUGAUAUUGGAGUUGGAAUGGCUCCGAUUACUGCAAAAACUAGGGUAGCACUGAAUACAAUGAAGGCCAUCGGAAUACCUAUGCAAACAGCUAAACCAGUUUUGAUGAAUCUUCUUAAGGUUUAUGAUAAUCACUGGGAGUACAUUGAAGCUGAGAACUAUAGACUUCUCGCUGAUGCUAUACUAGACAUGCAAGAGUCAAAAUCAAAGGAUAUGGGCGGUAUGGGUAAGAAUGGUGUUGCUCGUAACGAACCUGAGCCUCUGAAGAAAAGAACAAGAAAUAGGAAAGGGGCCAAUGACCCUGGACCAGCAGUGAUUAGCUCUGAUACAGCUGCAGAGUUUUCACUUAAAAGGCCAAAAUUAGAAGAAGAUGUUCGUUCUGAAGCCUAUCCUGUAACAAUAAGAGAUGAGCUAGCUAACUCAAUGGACCACAAAGGGAAAAUAGUUGAAACUUCAUUGCCUGAAGUCCGUCCCAUGUUAGUUUACACAAAGAAUAGCAGAAGAAAAACUGUUGAAUCAGAAUUGCCUGAAAUAAAUCAUAGAAAAGAUCAAGCAGUUUACUUAAGGAACCGCAAAGGCAAAAAAGUCGCAGAAACAUCAUCUCAGCCUACUUUUGGAGAAGCACCUGAGAAAUUAUCAAUGCCGCCAUGUUCUAAGAAGCAAAGGACAACUGAGACCUUGUUACCUCAGUUACAUGAUAGUUUCCGAAGGACCGGGCAAGCUUCAUCUCCUAUGAAUUCUAGAGUGACAAGAUCUCAAAAACAAGGAUUCGAAACUUGUUCUGGUCCAGAUCAAAUUGGUAACUUUUCUUCUGUUCCAGUCAGGCCUAAAGAUGAACCACGUGAUGAUGACUUACCAUUAUGUGAUACUCCUAUUGCAGUGAUGCCCCCUCCUCAGUCCAUAUCUUUUCAUGUUGGUGAAGUAAGUCAUCAACAUUCUUUGAAGAAUCCUAUUUUGCAGAAAAUUGUUGUUCUAGAUGGAACACAUAAUGAACAAAAUGAGAAGGAUAAAGAAAACCUCCCAGAUAACACAUGCAACAAAGGGUCCCCAUCCAAAAUCUUAUCAGUUCAGGACUCAUCUUCUGUCAAUGUCAAUGCUGGUUCAUCAGAUCUAGGGGAGGUAAAACUUUCAUUUUGGUACAAUUUUGAUCGACCUAGUUUCCAUGUGCCAAACUUGGAGGAUGUUUACAAGCUAGUGGAGGACAAAUGUUUGAGAUCAUAUAAGAUUCUGCAACCUAGCUUCUCCAUUAAAAACCUCAUGAAUGAGAUGUGCCAAUGUUUUGUAGAACUAAGUUCUGAAAUAACUGACAAUGAGCAGGAAAAUUUUGUACAGAUAAAUUCUCUGCUUGAUUCACUUAAGAAACCUGUUAUGGCUAGUGUGUGCAUUCCUGCAAGUUCAGAUGGUUUCUUGGGUUCAACACUGUCUGGUGGUUUUCAGGACAGAUCUGGUCCAUCCCACUGUCAUAAUGAUGCAGAGAAUAAUCAAAAUGGGACUAGUAAGAAAAGAAAGAAACCUGAAUUUUCUGAAUCUGCAAAGGAUACAUCACAGGGUUUGGUCAUGGUUCAACAGCCACAAUAUCGACUUGCAGAAUUUAGACCACUCCAUGAUGUGGAUGACAUAUCUAAAGGUGAAGAAAGAGUGCGAAUACCAGUGGUAAAUGAAAUCACAACUGAUAAGUAUCCACCAUCUUUUAAUUACAUACCACAAAACUUUGUGUACCAAAGUGCAUAUCUGAAUUUUUCUCUUGCUCGAAUUGGAGAUGAGGACUGUUGUGCUGACUGUUUCAAUGAUUGUUUGGCUGCACCGAUUCCUUGUGCAUGUGCAAGAGAAACAGCAGGUGACUUUGCCUAUACAACAAAGGGGGUUGUAAAAAGGGAUUUCUUGGAUGAGAGUAUUUCAAUGUACCGUGAACCAGAGAAGCACCACAAAUUUUAUUGUCCAGAUUGCCCUCUUGAAAGAUCCAAAAAUGAAAUCUCACCAGAGCCAUGCAGAGGACAUUUGAUUAGGAAGUUCAUUAAAGAAUGUUGGAGAAAAUGUGGCUGCAGCAUGCACUGUGGCAAUCGUGUGGUACAGAGAGGCAUUACAUGCAAUUUGCAGGUAUUUCGUACAUCUGAGGGAAAGGGAUGGGGUUUGAGAACACUUGAUGAAUUGCCUAGAGGUGCAUUUGUAUGUGAAUAUGUUGGUGAAGUACUGACAAACAUGGAGCUUUAUGACAGGACAGUGCAAAAAACUGGCAAUGCAAAACAUACAUAUCCUGUGCUACUUGAUGCUGAUUGGGGAUCUGAAGGUAGACUUAAGGAUGAAGAAGCACUUUGUUUGGAUGCAACAUUUUAUGGUAAUGUGGCAAGGUUUAUUAACCAUAGAUGCUGCGAUGCCAAUCUGAUUGAAAUUCCAGUUGAAAUAGAAACACCAGAUCAUCAUUAUUACCAUCUUGCUUAUUUUACAACUAGAAGAGUGGAACCUUUGGAAGAAUUGACAUGGGAUUAUGGCAUUGAUUUUGAUGAUGAUGAUCACCCAAUCAAGGCAUUUAAAUGUAGAUGCGGAAGCAGACUUUGCAGAGAUAUUAAACGCUGAAUGUCCUAGAUAAUGACCACUCUUGGAUGGCUCUUAGCUUGCUUGGAUGCUUCUAAUCCUUUAGAUUACACCAUAAAACUCAAGAUUAUCACAGAUGAAGUUGUAUUUCUUCAAAUUUAUGUAAAGCUUCUUCCUUGUGAAGAACUUUUAUAAAUGGGAUUGGUUUGGAAGAUCAUCUGCUGCACAAGAUGCCACACAUUUCGUUUCACUGUAUAUACAAUGCCACAUCCUUUGAAACUUCACCUUGUUUCUUGUACUCUUCACAUCUCCACGUGACACCAUCAGUUCCAUCAACUCUACUAGGGCUAUCCACUACCGCUCCAUUAGAGGCUCAUUGUUAUUGUAGUGAAGACCAAUCAGAUUCUUAGUGGUCACUUGUAACUCUUUCAUUAGUCUCUCUGACACUAGUACCUCCUUCAUUCAUUCUUGAUUGCUGCUCUGCAGCAAGGGACCCGAUCAAGAGCAUCUGCAAUGUAGUUGACUGGACGUGAAGCUAUAGAUUUCGAGUAAAUUUUGGGUGCAUUCCAAAUAAAAGUUUUUGUUAGCACUAACAGAUAGUCAAUAGAAACUGCUGUUGUGUAAAUUAGAUAGAAAUCUCAGCGUUUUUUUGGUAUGAGCAUUAUCUGGCACUUUCUUAUCUUGGUUCCAACGUUUGAUACUUGCGUUUUGUAGAUAUCAAAGCUGCCUAUGUAAGCCACUUCAAUUAUAAGUAGGUGUUUGUGUAUCAA
This is an RNA transcript of Zingiber officinale, 3550 nucleotides long. It is a transcript of the gene named probable inactive histone-lysine N-methyltransferase SUVR2, with no coding region annotated. The record is from RefSeq and is a predicted model, not a curated record. The transcript has 13 exons. Lineage: Eukaryota; Viridiplantae; Streptophyta; Magnoliopsida; Zingiberales; Zingiberaceae.